This 348-nucleotide unclassified non-coding RNA is filed under the name soil metagenome. Its description in RNAcentral is "partial contains 5.8S ribosomal RNA, internal transcribed spacer 2, and large subunit ribosomal RNA". The stretch from base 1 to 120 matches the Rfam family "5.8S ribosomal RNA", at positions 35 to 154 of the family's 154-position model. The record is from RNAcentral.
GAUGAAGAACGCAGUGAAAUGCGAUAAGUAAUGUGAAUUGCAGAAUUCAGUGAAUCAUCGAAUCAUUGAACGCACAUUGCGCCCGCCAGUAUUCUGGCGGGCAUGCCUGUCUGAGCGUCAUUUCAACCCUCAUGCCCCUAGGGCGUGGUGUUGGGGAUCGGCCAAAGCCCGCGAGGGACGGCCGGCCCCUAAAUCUAGUGGCGGACCCGUCGUGGCCUCCUCUGCGAAGUAGUGAUAUUCCGCAUCGGAGAGCGAUGAGCCCCUGCCGUUAAACCCCCAACUUUCCAAGGUUGACCUCAGAUCAGGUAGGAAUACCCGCUGAACUUAAGCAUAUCAAUAAGCGGAGGA